This 1845-nucleotide long non-coding RNA is filed under the name Brassica rapa (field mustard). RNAcentral's name for it is "long non-coding RNA (BRAP_LNC004184)". Lineage: Eukaryota; Viridiplantae; Streptophyta; Magnoliopsida; Brassicales; Brassicaceae. The record is from RNAcentral.
CAAUAUUUAUCUCUUACAAAAUUAUUGGCUUGUAUCUUUUUUUACUUGAAAAAAACCUAAACGAUGAAGAAGUUGUGGACGAUAGUGACGUAGACGUCGGCGACGACGAUGGCGAUAAAGACAGUGCGUUGAAGACGACGGAGAAGUAGAUGAACAGCGAUGUAGAUGACGAGAUAGAUGGCGAGAAAACCCAAACACUUCGCAUCUCUACUUCUCUGCUGCGAUGCAUUCUUUAUUUCUUGUUCAACGAGUGACGGGAGAUCUCUCUAGUGGCUCUGUACCAUCCAAAAAUAGGUAUGUUCCAUCUGCUCCAGAGGACAAAAACGAUCUUGAGAACAUAGCAAAAGAUGAGUUGCGGCACGAGAUAGCAAAAUUGAAUAUGUGUGUUUAUAGAUUGGAUCUUCGAAGUCUAUUGUCUUUUUGGCGUUGGUAAUUCACAAUUAUCCCCUGGAUGUAUCCCAUCUAACUCAACCUAUUAGACAAGGUCAUUAUAAAUGUCUAACAUGUUUUCAAUUAUGACAUAGUAAAUCUUCUCGAGCUUCCACAACCAACAUGAACUAAAUUUUCAGGAUUCUACCUAAUGAUUGCAACAAUAGUUUCUUAAUGAUUGACGUUAUUCAUUCAGUUAAAUUGUUGUUAUUCAUUAAGUUUUUAUUUGAUUGAUUUCAUCAAAAUUUUGAUGCAUCCUUAUGUAAGUACAAAAAACAUAUUCUAAAGAGAUAUAAUUUGUGUAUAUGAACAUGGAAUAACAUGUGUUAUAUUCUGUGUACACUUCCCUUGUUGACAAGCAUGUUCAUACAUGUGUACACUUAAUCCUUGUACAACUACAUUAAACCCUCCUUUGUCUCCCAACCACCUGCGACCACACCCUUGUUAACAGUGACGAAGAAGUACACAUAUUCUAUUGAUUCACUUUUGAUGUACACAUGUACAUAUUCCACGGUGUACACAAAUAUGUGAUACACAAACAACUAUAAAUAACAUACCAAAACAUCAAAAAAAAUCAGUGUUAUGCACAUUACAUUACAACAAAAUAACCAUACACACCUAAGUUUUUUACUUCAACUCAACUGGUCUCCUACAUAUCAAGGAAACACUCACUCUUUGCAAAUAUCCUUAUUUAGUGUACAUGUGUACAUCUCUUUAUUUAUUGUACACAUCUAUGCCAUUACACUUUAUCGUACACACGCACGACAAAUCUCCAAAAACCAGUGCCUACGUACACCACCAUGUAUCCACAUGGAAUAUCCAAAGACACAUUAUAGCUAAUUGAAAAUUGAUUUUGAUCUUGGUUCUUUGGAUCUAAACCUCAAGCAGGUGUUAAAGAAGAAGACUAGGAUGACAAUAGUGAUGUUGUUGAUGAUGGUGAUGAUAAGAAAAACAAUCUGGUAUGAUAGAUAUCUUAUCAACGCUGCAAGUAUUUUUUUUUGUCAUCUGCAACUUCAUGACUCGUAUAAUGUAAACUAAAUUGCUUAUAGUUGUCUUCCUCAAUUAGUUGUUUUUCAUUAUAGUUGAAGUUUUUGCAAUAAAAAUGUAUCAAAGUUAUUCAAUUUCAGUUUCCUUUUCUUUUUAGGUGCGCUUGAUUGGGAAGAAAGAUCUGGGGUGGGGAAGUCUUUGGCCCUAUGGGUUUGUACUUCCUUAAUAAUAACAUUAAAACAAUGUUUGCAUGUACACGAACAAUAUAUAAUGUGUACAUGUGUACACUAGAGAUAUAUCGUAUACAAAACAAAUUGUGUACACAUGUACACGAAUGAAACAUAGCCAAUGUAAGAAAUACAAUAUCAACAUCUAUGUUAUCAACAAGAUAACAAGAUAACCAUCUAUAACCAAGUUUCUUUCUUUAUA